GGGGAUGUGGCUCAGUAGUGGAGCCCUUGCCCAACAAGUGUGAAUCCCUGGGUUCAAUUCCCAGUACCACCC
RNAcentral lists this transfer RNA (72 nucleotides) under Ictidomys tridecemlineatus (thirteen-lined ground squirrel). RNAcentral describes it as "Spermophilus tridecemlineatus (thirteen-lined ground squirrel) tRNA". It matches the Rfam family "tRNA". From Rfam's summary of the family: Transfer RNA (tRNA) molecules are approximately 80 nucleotides in length. Their secondary structure includes four short double-helical elements and three loops (D, anti-codon, and T loops). Further hydrogen bonds mediate the characteristic L-shaped molecular structure. tRNAs have two regions of fundamental functional importance: the anti-codon, which is responsible for specific mRNA codon recognition, and the 3' end, to which the tRNAs corresponding amino acid is attached (by aminoacyl-tRNA synthetases). tRNAs cope with the degeneracy of the genetic code in two manners: having more than one tRNA (with a specific anti-codon) for a particular amino acid; and 'wobble' base-pairing, i.e. permitting non-standard base-pairing at the 3rd anti-codon position. The record is from Rfam by way of RNAcentral. Lineage: Eukaryota; Metazoa; Chordata; Mammalia; Rodentia; Sciuridae.